ACACCUCAACUCUCACGGUUCGCCGUGAUGAGCUUGGACUUUGGGGGUCUUGCUGGCCUGUCCGUCGGCUCCUCUCAAAUGAAUUAGCUUUCCAGUGUUUGGUGGAAUCAUGGGUGUGAUAACUAUCUACGCUUGUGGUUUUCUGCCAGGUGUGCAACCUUCAGCGAUGGGGGUUUGCUGGGGCUAAUAAAUGUCUCCCUCCAGCGGAGACAGCUUUGUGAAC
This 223-nucleotide unclassified non-coding RNA is filed under the name uncultured Thelephoraceae. RNAcentral's name for it is "sequence contains ITS2". The record is from RNAcentral. Lineage: Eukaryota; Fungi; Basidiomycota; Agaricomycetes; Thelephorales; Thelephoraceae.